Saccostrea cuccullata (small rock oyster) is the source of this 243-nucleotide long non-coding RNA. RefSeq lists it as uncharacterized. The record is from RefSeq and is a predicted model, not a curated record. The transcript is spliced from 2 exons. NCBI's taxonomy places the organism in Eukaryota, Metazoa, Mollusca, Bivalvia, Ostreida, Ostreidae.
GUUUACAAGUAUGGGAAACGUGCAGGUUUAAGACGAAGUGUGCAUUUGGUUAUAGGAAUUUCUUUUACCGCUUUUGGCCAUUUACCAUCUUAACUUGUUUUGUUAUAUAUAGCACUGGAUAACACAUGCAAGUUGGAUAAAAACGAUACUGAAGAGGAUCCAACCAGCUAUUCUCAAGAAAAUGCUGUUUUAGUUUUUCUUUUGUCUAUUUUUGUAAAUUUAAAUAAAAAUUAUGUUGAUUUA